Molecule: ribosomal RNA, 452 nt
Filed under: uncultured bacterium
Lineage: Bacteria
Description: bacterial SSU rRNA
Rfam family: Bacterial small subunit ribosomal RNA
Source: RNAcentral
AGCGAACGCUGGCGGCAGGCUUAACACAUGCAAGUCGAACGGGCGUAGCAAUACGUCAGUGGCAGACGGGUGAGUAACGCGUGGGAACGUACCUUUUGGUUCGGAACAACCCAGGGAAACUUGGGCUAAUACCGGAUAAGCCCUUACGGGGAAAGAUUUAUCGCCGAAAGAUCGGCCCGCGUCUGAUUAGCUAGUUGGUGUGGUAACGGCGCACCAAGGCGACGAUCAGUAGCUGGUCUGAGAGGAUGAUCAGCCACAUUGGGACUGAGACACGGCCCAAACUCCUACGGGAGGCAGCAGUGGGGAAUAUUGGACAAUGGGCGCAAGCCUGAUCCAGCCAUGCCGCGUGAGUGAUGAAGGCCCUAGGGUUGUAAAGCUCUUUUGUGCGGGAAGAUAAUGACGGUACCGCAAGAAUAAGCCCCGGCUAACUUCGUGCCAGCAGCCGCAGUAAC